Molecule: ribosomal RNA, 497 nt
Filed under: uncultured bacterium
Lineage: Bacteria
Description: partial 16S ribosomal RNA
Rfam family: Bacterial small subunit ribosomal RNA
Source: RNAcentral
GAUGAACGCUGGCGGCGUGCCUAAUACAUGCAAGUCGAGCGAACAGAUGAGGAGCUUGCUCCUCUGACGUUAGCGGCGGACGGGUGAGUAACACGUGGAUAACCUACCUAUAAGACUGGGAUAACUUCGGGAAACCGGAGCUAAUACCGGAUAAUAUAUUGAACCGCAUGGUUCAAUAGUGAAAGACGGUUUUGCUGUCACUUAUAGAUGGAUCCGCGCCGCAUUAGCUAGUUGGUAAGGUAACGGCUUACCAAGGCAACGAUGCGUAGCCGACCUGAGAGGGUGAUCGGCCACACUGGAACUGAGACACGGUCCAGACUCCUACGGGAGGCAGCAGUAGGGAAUCUUCCGCAAUGGGCGAAAGCCUGACGAAGCAACGCCGCGUGAGUGAUGAAGGUCUUCGGAUCGUAAAACUCUGUUAUUGGGGAAGAACAAAUGUGUAAGUAACUAUGCACGUCUUGACGGUACCUAAUCAGAAAGCCACGGCUAACUACGUG